GUGGAAACAGGGUCUUCACGGAUGAGCAGGAGCAGAAGUUGCCAGUCUCUUGAGGGCAGCUGAUUUAUAUUAUGGAUUGUCUCCCCAUGAGAGUGCUGAAGCAACUAGUCUGUCGCGGGCUACAAGUUUCAACAGAACAAAUGUGGCAGAGUUUUUCAGCAAACUAGGACAGGUGAUGAUAAAUAAAUACAGCUUUGAUGGCAAUGACAUAUGGAAUGUUGACGAGAAUAACCACAGUACAAACACCUGAUAGAGUGGUCGUGAAACGUGGCACCAAACAGGUUGGAGCAAUCACCUCAGCAGAAAGGGGUACACUAGUGUCAAUGGCAUGUGCUAAUAAAUGCAAUAGGAAACUCAAUCCCCCCCAACUUUUGUUUUCCACCGCAAAAAAGAUACCACGACCACUUUGUACGGGAUGGGCCAAUUUUGGAAGUGGAAACGGAUCUAGCUGGAUGCAGGAGGAUGACUUCCUCAUUGUCCUUGAACACUUCGCCAAACAUGCCAAGGUCAGCCUGGAAAGGAAGGUGGUCCUUCUCCUUGUCAACCACACCUGUCUAUCAAGGUAAUUGUUUUCUGUAGGUGGUCUGGCAUAGUCUUGCUUUCUUUCCUCCCACACUGUUCACACAAGCUCCAGCCCCUGGACAGGAGUGUGUACGGGCCAUUGAAGAAAAUGGUGAACUCUGCCAGUGAUGCCUGGAUGAGGAUGAACCCCAGAAAGAUCAUGACCAUAUAUGACAUUCCAGGCCUUGUCAAAACAACACUUCCGGGUGCCACAACACCCACCAAUGUACAGGCUGGGUUCAGGUGCACCGGCAUUUGGCCAUACAACCCUAAUAUACUUCAGGAAUAUGUCUUUGCACCCUCCCUUGUCACUGAUUGUCCUGCUCCAGAUGACACACUGGCCUUGCCAGCUGCCUCCCAGGUCACCUCUUCAGCCACCACUCAUGCCACUGUGACCACUGAAGAGCAUAAAAAGUCAAGCACUCAGAAGGCAAAAAGACACAUUUCCCUGUCAAAAAAAAAACAGCUGGAAAGAUGCAAGCCAAGGCAAACCAUACUGAACAACAACAAAAAACUGUCCAGCCUAAGAAAAAAGCCUAAACAAAGCACAUUGAACCCGAACGUUCAUAUUCCUCCAACGAGGAAAACUUCUGCAUAGUGUGCAUGGAGCACUUUAACAAUUCCAAGUCCGAGGAGGUCUGGGUGCAAUGCUGAGAAUGCAAAUGAUGGACCCACCAAGCCUGUACCUCAGGACAGCCAUACUACUGUCACAACUAUGACUCUGAUUUAAGUGAACAUGUCCAACACUCAGUCGCACUCACGCACACACAGACAGACACACACACCACCACUGUUCAGGUGUUUAAUUUAGCCUAGUUGUUGUUUGGUUGAGAAAGACCAUUUAGU
Molecule: long non-coding RNA, 1407 nt
Filed under: Salmo salar (Atlantic salmon)
Lineage: Eukaryota; Metazoa; Chordata; Actinopteri; Salmoniformes; Salmonidae
Description: lncRNA (ENSSSAG00000120033.1)
Source: RNAcentral